Non-coding RNA from Labrus bergylta (ballan wrasse), 4195 nucleotides. NCBI's taxonomy places the organism in Eukaryota, Metazoa, Chordata, Actinopteri, Labriformes, Labridae. The record is from RefSeq and is a predicted model, not a curated record.
CCCUUUAAUGAACUUUGUGAUAAUGUAACCACAUUGUGGUCAGAUAAUUACGAAGGAGAAGAAAACCUGAUUAAAGACGGACAAGCAGCCAGAAGAGUGCGGUUUAAUGCUCCAACACCAUGUUGGUUGUUUCCAAAGCAAAAUGUCCUUUCUUUAUAAAUUAACCAUCAAUAAACUUCCAGAGAUUUACAAAGAGCCACGGGGGCAGGAAGAGUCCGAAUGUCCCGAGCAGACACACGAUGAUGAACAUCCAGAGGAAGAUCCGGUCCACAACCAUGGCUACGUACUUCCAGUCCUCUUUUACCUGAAGAGACCAAAAAAACUCUGAGAUGCUCUGCGAUGUAGGUCACCCCCUCGAGGGCCGAUACCACAGCAGGAGACAGAAAGGAGGCCGGUGUGCUCUGGGUCGUACCGUGCUCAACAGGAGGGUUGUCCCAGUCCAAGCUGAAGGUGGAGGGUCUCUGAGGGAGGAUGGUGUAACCCAGACAGCGAGCAGAAGGAGGCGAGAAGGAGGAAAUCCUCUGUCGACCUUCUAUCUUCACCCCAAGUCCCCCGACAUGGUCUGCGUCUUCAUAGCUGUGGAGGUCGCAGUACUUAAUUUGACCUCCCGUGUCCAAGAUGUCGAGACGGUGGCUGCUGUGGCGAAGGUUGUCGUUCUCGUAACCAUGGAGAUCUAUGUCUGACUCCUGAGUGAUCCACGUGGAGGUGAAGUGGGAGUGGCCUGGAGUCCGGAGAGGGAGGAGCUUAUCAGCGAGGUGACGCCGCCUAAGACACCGAAAAGAUGAUUCAAAUUGAAUAAAAGAAGCAAAAGUCCUCGCAGGUUAACCAAACAGCUGCUCAAGAGCUUCAACUAUAAAAUGUUGUUUACGUGCAGCUUAAAGUUUGACUUCAAGCUGCUUUAAUCAAUAUUUUUACAGCAUCAUUUCUGCCAAUGUUUAGCUGACCCGUCAACCUGCAAAUCUUAAAAACACUUUUUAGUGCCUUUAAGCUUGUGUUUUGGUGCAUGGUUGUCUGUUUUGGUCGCAUACCUCUCUCGUUCGGUCAUUUAAAACAGUUUCAAAGCUCUACACAAAAACAGCAAAACCAUGAAGUAUCUUUUUAAUAACGAGUUCACUGUGUCAUCUUAAAGGGCGACGGUCGAUGUGUUCAAAGCUCGUUUCUGCUGCCCCCAAGUGGUCAAAGUACAGUAGUACUAGGUGGAUUUUGGGAACAGUGUGUUCAAGGAGUGACUAGAAGAAGACCUUCAGUCACAUUUCAUUUCAAUACUCGUCACAGCAAAGAAGCACCAAAACUACAACCUACAAAUACAGAAUGCGAUGUUUAAUGAUUAUUCUGAAAUGAAAAUCUUAAGUAACUUUUUUGUGUUUUCUGCAGAAUCAGUUGCAACGUCUGAGUUUUGUUUUUGUGUAAACAACAUCUGACACAGCUUUGUUUUCACGGCGUUUCCUUCAAUGCAACAUGGCCGCCUUCCUUGUUUCCUCAUCUCACUGACCUGUGGACCGGACGCUUCAUGCACAACCAACGAGGCACCGCCGUCAGGAACAACCUCCGAACCCACCGCGGCAUCCUGUGAGUCGCCGACGAGCGGUGGUGCACGUUCAGCACGAACACGGUGAUGACGAUGGACAGCGUGACGAAGAUCAUGGUGAAGAGCAGAUACUCGCCGAUGAGCGGGAUGACCAGCGACGUGGACGGGAUGAUCUCGGUGAUGAGGAGCAGGAAGACGGUGAGCGACAGCAGCACGGAGAUGCACAGCGUGAUUUUCUCGCCGCAGUCGGACGGCAGGUAGAAGACGAGGACUGUGAGGCAGGAGAUGAGGAGGCAGGGGAUGAUGAGGUUGAUGGUGUAGAAGAGCGGCAGGCGGCGGAUGACAAAGUAGUAGGUGAUGUCGGGGUAGAUCUCGCGGCAGCAGUCGUAUUUCUUGAUGUUGUAGGUGCCUACGGCGUUGACGAUCGCCCACUCGCCGCUCUCCCAGUAGUUCUAGAAAUCAGAAUUGUUUUAGCCAAGUGUUCCUACUGUCGUCCUCAGAGGAUACACCCGGCAGACUUUAUUUAACAUAAUCCUGCAGGUUUUAAAUCUCAGUUUGAUGUGGGUUUUAUUAAAGAUGAAAACGUAACAUUGGCUCCCACCUUCAGGUCCACCGUGUUCUCGAAGGGCUCCAAGUCGAUCUUGGCGCGGUCGUACGUCCACGAGCCAAACUUCAUCUUGCAGCUCUGCUGGUCGAAAGGGAAGAAGGUGACGUCGAUGGAGCACGAGGACUUGUAGAUGGCCGGGGGAACCCAGCGGACUCGACCCGUGUGGAAGAGGUGCGCUUUGGUCAUGUGGGUGACAGCGAACUCGCCAUCUGCACUGAAAAAGGGAGAUUGCGAGGUAAAAGAUUAGCGUUGAGACUCGGGGGGGAAAGGAAGUAAUGCAAAAGAUUGAGAAAAAAACAGGUACGACAAGAUACAUUUAAAACUUUGUUCUAAGAAUAUCCACGUUUUUUUUUUUUUUUUGCCCCCUCGGGCUCCCGUAGUUCACAUCCUCCCCUCUCAUUUACUUCCUGCAUCUACUGCUUUACCCUGAAACUUUUGCUUGUGUAAAAUUUUAAUGAUAUGUAUAUAUGAAAUUGUUUUUUGUCAUUUCUUUGUCAUUUAUAGUUUAUUUUUUUUUUUUUUAUUUUGUUUGGGGGGGGAGGUUUUAUCUAAGGCCAUUUAGUCCAGUCUUUUGUUCCUACCUCCUAUGAGAGAAUCUGUGUUUUUCUAUUAAAUGUAUAUCUUGUUCUCAGACUAUAACCCAGCAUUGACAAUUUACAUUUUUUUAAUUGAUCCGUUUUAUUAGUUGUUUCAUAAAUCUCUCCGUCUGCACUGGAAAACAAGAGAGAAACAAAAAGCAAGCAAUUCUGAAAAAGGGGGAGAAAAUAAAGAUUUGAUUUACAUAAGACACGACUUCUUCCUUUUGUUUUUCGGGUUUAAAGGGCUGAAAAGUUUCCGUCUCAUCUUGUUUCAAACUCCCGAGGUGAAACAAGAAACCUCUGGCUAUUUCCAAUUCACACAGGAGACGAUUAAUAAUGAAUCACUGGAUGCUAACGACUCGACACGGCACCCAUGAUGCAACUUUAGUCAAACAAGGGCUGAGGGAGGAGAAAGUUUCACCUCCUUCCAGACAAAUUUCAGAUUUAAUACUUCCUCGCGGCCCCCGCGGGGAGGAAACCAGACCGAAGCUGUGUGAUGCAACAAAGCUGGAAUCAGGCUCAUUUAUUCAGCGGGCUCAUUUACAUUUAUCACACACUGGUCUGCACAAAUCUGCAGAAACACUGUGAUGUUACCGAGCCGCUUGACCUUCCUCCUCUUCACACGCUCUUCACGUUGUCACUGAUCAAGCAGAGCACGAUGUCCGGCACCCAGAUGAGCUCUGAGGGAACUCUGAUGGACGUCACGUUAUCGAAGUCUGACGGCGUCCACUGCAGCUUGUAGUCCGUCCACUCCUGUCGACACAUGCACCGUUUUUAACACUUUAAAGGAAAAGAUCCACUUUGAACCACAUUCAGUCCCUCAGCUCUUCUCUCUUUUUUUUUUUUUUUACCUGUUUCAGCCAAACGUUGGUCGUCAUCAUCUGAUUUUUUUCAUCCUGCAGUGGAGACACAAAUGGACAAAAUGGACAUGUGUGUGUGUGUUGAGAGUGUGUCAAAGAGUGUGUCAGAGGACGUGACAUGCCGAUGUUCUCACCACGUCUAUGAGCUGAGCGAUGGAGAGGCCGAACUUGACGAUGACCACGUCGGUGACGUUGCGAGCGGGACGGGUCCACUUGCUGUAACCUCCGAACAGACUCCUGAAGAGAUCAUCCUCGGUGUGGAGACGAGUCCAGUCCUCAGAGAGAGCUGACACAGAGACACCAGGAAAGAAUCCUUUCAGUUAUAAACCGAGAUAAUGUUUUAUGCCAUGUACUUCUGUCUCCAAAUACAAAUGAUUUGAGAUACUAUAAUCAUGACGCAUAACUCUUUUUUUUAAUGCUUUUUCUGGUUUUACUCUUUGCUUGUUAAGGUUAAAACGUGUUGUUUAUUUCCUGCGUCUCUUCACCUUCCUACGUUUUGAAGGACUAUCCCUCCACGUUUUCCACUUUGUAAUCUCUUCUUCUACUGAAGUUACACAGCAGAGAGAUUUAGAGAGAAGUGUUGUCUCCUCCUUCUGGAACAAAAAAAAAAAAAAAAAAAAAG